UGGACAGUGAUGAGCACAUGCUGUGAAUCAAGGACUAUGAUUAAUCAAAUCCUGUGUUUCUGAGUUCCAUA
RNAcentral lists this small nucleolar RNA (71 nucleotides) under Myotis lucifugus (little brown bat). RNAcentral's name for it is "Small nucleolar RNA SNORD112 (ENSMLUG00000021206.1)". The record is from RNAcentral. Lineage: Eukaryota; Metazoa; Chordata; Mammalia; Chiroptera; Vespertilionidae.